This 446-nucleotide ribosomal RNA is filed under the name uncultured bacterium. Its description in RNAcentral is "partial 16S ribosomal RNA". It matches the Rfam family "Bacterial small subunit ribosomal RNA", at positions 338 to 795 of the family's 1533-position model. The record is from RNAcentral.
CCUACGGGAGGCAGCAGUCGAGAAUCAUUCACAAUGGAGGAAACCCUGAUGGUGCGACGCCGCGUGGGGGAAUGAAGGUCUUCGGAUUGUAAACCCCUGUCAUGUGGGAGCAAAUUAAAAAGAUAGUACCACAAGAGGAAGAGACGGCUAACUCUGUGCCAGCAGCCGCGGUACUACAGAGGUCUCAAGCGUGGUUCGGAAUCACUGGGCGUAAAGCGUGCGUAGGCUGUUUCGUAAGUCGGGUGUGAAAGGCGCGGGCUCAACCCGCGGACUGCAAAUGAUACUGGGAGACUAGAGUAAAGGAGGGGGAACCGGAAUUCGCGGUGUAGCAGUGAAAUGCGUAGAUAUCGAGAGGAACACUCGUGGCGAAGGCGGGUUACUGGACAUUAACUGACGCUGAGGCACGAAGGCCAGGGGAGCGAAAGGGAUUAGAUACCCUAGUAGUC